RNAcentral lists this ribosomal RNA (253 nucleotides) under uncultured bacterium. RNAcentral describes it as "partial 16S ribosomal RNA". It matches the Rfam family "Bacterial small subunit ribosomal RNA", at positions 524 to 776 of the family's 1533-position model. The record is from RNAcentral.
UACGUAGGGUGCGAGCGUUGUCCGGAUUUAUUGGGCGUAAAGAGCUUGUAGGCGGCUCGUCGCGUCGGGUGUGAAAACUUGCGGCUUAACCGCAAGCCUGCACCCGAUACGGGCGGGCUAGAGUUCGGCAGGGGAGACUGGAAUUCCUGGUGUAGCGGUGGAAUGCGCAGAUAUCAGGAGGAACACCGGUGGCGAAGGCGGGUCUCUGGGCCGAUACUGACGCUGAGAAGCGAAAGCCAGGGGAGCAAACGGG